GAGGUGUCUUUGUUCACUUUUUGAUUCUGUGCUUAUUCUCUGUCCCUACCAUUAGCAAUUUGGGCCCGCCCUUAGACAUAUAUGGCUGGCAGUAUGCGGUGGUUGUGCGGUAGGGGCCUGGUUUACCGCUAGCCUAUGUCGCCCCCACUUGCAAUACUUGUUUUUUAUGCAAACAAAAUACUAUCAUUGGUUGAAUUGUAGAAGAUAAAUUGAUCAUUGGUUGUGUAUGAAAUUUCAUUAGAUUUUGAUGUUUGAUUCACUCCAUGGAAAAACCUGUUUGCAUUAUGCUGCUUUCUAUGGCCAUCUAGAUUGCCUACAAGCUAUUCUUUCUGCUACCCUUUCCACCUCUGUUGCACAUUCCUGGUGACCCUCUCUCUCUCUCUCUCUCUGCACACACACACUCAUAUAUGCUUGUGUGUAGAGAAUAUCCAUGAAGUUGCUAAAGCUGUGGUUGUUUUGUUUGGUUUGAUUUGGAGUUGAUGGCAGGGAAUUUGCAAGGUUUGUGAAUAUAAGAGAUAAAAAUGGAGCAACCCAAUUGCACUUGGCAGCCCGACAAGGAUGGCCGGGGUGCGUUCAUAUGUUGUUAGACAGUGGGGCUCUUGUUUGUGCAUCUUCCAGAGGAUAUGGGUAAAACUCUCUUAUUGAAGGUUUUCUAGUUUCGUGGGGGUUCAUUGGAUUGUGUUCGGGAAUUACUUGCUUGGGGGGCUGAUAGACUUCAUAGAGAUUCAUCUGGACCAGAUCCACUGACAUACGGAGUAGGUGAUUUCAAGGUCUUUGAUGCUGAAAUUAGUUUUGAGUACUCAAUAUGGAAUUAAUGUUAUAGCAGUGUCUGAACCCCCUUGUUAUUCCCUUUCUAUGGAGUUGAAUGUGCUACAAUCUACGUAUUUCUAGUGUGGUUAAACAAUAUUAGCCUUCAUGCUCAAUCAUAACGAAAAUCGAGAGUAAUUGGUUCCUAUUGAGAUUGUUGACGAUGACAUGAUG
Molecule: non-coding RNA, 981 nt
Organism: Camellia sinensis
Lineage: Eukaryota; Viridiplantae; Streptophyta; Magnoliopsida; Ericales; Theaceae
Source: RefSeq, a predicted model, not a curated record